RNAcentral lists this ribosomal RNA (465 nucleotides) under uncultured bacterium. Its description in RNAcentral is "partial 16S ribosomal RNA". It matches the Rfam family "Bacterial small subunit ribosomal RNA", at positions 28 to 507 of the family's 1533-position model. The record is from RNAcentral.
GACGAACGCUGGCGGCGUGCUUAACACAUGCAAGUCGAACGGAAAGGCCCCUUCGGGGGUACUCGAGUGGCGAACAGGUGAGUAACACGUGAGUAACCUGCCCUUGACUUCGGGAUAACUUCGGGAAACUGGGGCUAAUACCGGAUAGGAAUCCUUGCUGCAUGGUGGGGGUUGGAAAGCUUCGGCGGUUUUGGAUGGACUCGCGGUUUAUCAGCUUGUUGGUGGGGUAGUGGCUUACCAAGGCUUUGACGGGUAGCCGGCCUGAGAGGGCGACCGGCCACAGUGGGACUGAGAUACGGCCCAGACUCCUACGGGAGGCAGAAGUGGGGAAUAUUGCACAAUGGGCGGAAGCCGGAUGCAGCAACGCCGCGGGCGGGAUGACGGCCUUCGGGUUGUAAACCGCUUUCAGCAGGGGCGAAGCUUGUGGUGACGGUACCUGCAGAAGAAGCACCGGCUAACUACGUG